This 291-nucleotide long non-coding RNA is filed under the name Nicotiana benthamiana. RNAcentral's name for it is "long non-coding RNA (NBEN_LNC018179)". Lineage: Eukaryota; Viridiplantae; Streptophyta; Magnoliopsida; Solanales; Solanaceae. The record is from RNAcentral.
CAGAAGAGAGGAGGAGAGAGAAGAGAGAAGGAGAAAGUUAGGUGAUGAUAAAAUACCUAAAUGGAAUAAAUAAGCAGCGGUAGGAAACUUAUUAUGAGAAAUCUGCCAAAGGAAGAACGUUACUUUAGGGGGGAUUUUCAGUUUCCAAAUCCAACUGUAAGAGGAAAUUAGAGUGGGGGCAGUGAUGAGUGAAGCAUAACAGGAUUUAACAGUGAAAAUUCCAUAGGAAGUACAUCACCAAAAGAUUUGAUCAUAACCUGUUUAUGAGAAUUGCAUAUAUAUAUAUAUAUA